ACUGGAAAGUGAAUCUGGAUUAUCAGGGUUUAAUUUAAUAUUGUUUUCGUUUACGUUGAAAAAUUUUUUUGUGUGAUUCAAAAAGCCUUGAUUUAUUAUUAUAUAAUUUUUUUUUAUUGUUAUUUUAUAUUUAUAUUAAAAUUUUUUUAUCAUUAUUUUUUCUUAGUAUUUGUUUGAAAUGCUUAUUUUAAAUUAUAGUUUAUUUUUAAUGUGAAUGAUUUUUUUUUAUUAUUUUAUAAGAAUUUUAUAUAUUUUACCUUUUGUAUCAGGGUUGAUUAAAUAAUUUUGUUUUAUUACUGUUUCUCGAAUUGUAGGGAUUUAUGUUGAUAUGAUUUUUUAUGUUUCAUAAUUAUUUUUAAUAUUGACAUGGUAGUGAUAUUCUAUUCGUACUUCAAUAUAUCUAGUUUUCUGAGAUUAAAUUUAAUUUUAAAUUUUUUUUGAACUUUAUUAUUUUCUAUUUAGUUUUUAAUUUUUUUUUAUUUUUUAAGGGUUAAGCUUUAAAUAUGAAUUAUAAUUUAAUAUAUUGAAUUUUCUUUUUAGGCUUGGAAUCAGCCAUUGUUUUAAUUGCGUUUUAGUUUAGUUAAUUUUUUAGUUAUUUUUUAUUUUAUUUAAUUUUAUUAUUGGAAUAUAUUCUUAAAUAUUUAAUGUUUAUUAAUAAUGAUUGAAUUAGUAUAAUUUUUUUAUUUAAAAUAUGUUUUUUUUGUAUUUAUUUUAAAGGAACUAGGCAAUUUUAUAGUAUUUCCGCCUGUUUAUCAAAAACAUCUCUUUUAGUUUUUAUUAAAGGUUGUACCUGCUCACUGAUUAAUUAAAGAGCCGCGGUAUUUUGACCGUGCAAAGGUAGCAUAAUCAUUAGCAUAUUAAUUGUGUGCUGGAAUGAAAGGUUUGACGAGAAAUAUACUGUCUCUAUUGUAUUUUUAUAAUUUUAUUUUCUAGUUAAAAAGCUGGGAUUUUUUUUUAGGACGAUAAGACCCUAUAGAGUUUGAUUCUACAUAUUUUAUUAUUUUGGGCUUAAUUAAUUAUUAAUAGUUAAUUUUAUUUUGAAUUUUGUUGGGGUGAUGUGAAUAAUAAUUAAACUAUUCAUUGUUUUUAUCAUUGAUUUAUGUUUUUUAUGAUCCUUUAUUAUUGAUUUAAAGAUAAAAUUACCUUAGGGAUAACAGCGCAAUUAUCUUUUAGAGUUCUUAUUGACAAGGUAGAUUGUGACCUCGAUGUUGGAUUAAGAUUUUUUUUAGGUGAAGGUGCUUAAUUUAAUUGGUC
Molecule: ribosomal RNA, 1254 nt
Filed under: Hedotettix attenuatus
Lineage: Eukaryota; Metazoa; Arthropoda; Insecta; Orthoptera; Tetrigidae
Description: partial large subunit ribosomal RNA
Source: RNAcentral